This 409-nucleotide small RNA is filed under the name Histoplasma ohiense. RNAcentral describes it as "hypothetical lncRNA". Lineage: Eukaryota; Fungi; Ascomycota; Eurotiomycetes; Onygenales; Ajellomycetaceae. The record is from RNAcentral.
GCCUAGCGAUUAGCUACUACAACUAUCAUACUAUUACGCGAUAUACUACUAUCUGAUAAUGUUGUUGCUUCUUCCACUAUCUUCUACUAUUCACUCUUCACAUUGUUAUCACCCCUCACACAUAUCUUCAACUAGAAUAGAAGACGUGUUGUGAUCUUGUUAUCUGCAACUGAUGAAGGAAAUGAGGUAACGAGGGCGGUGCAAUAUGAGAGACAGUAAAUUGCAUGCAUGAUUGCGAAAUAACCUGCUCUUUAAGACACAAUUCUGCUUCAAACUCAUUUAUCACCACUAUUGUAGGGAUCGCAGAAUCAACCACUAGAUUUAAACUUCAAGCAUUUGAUGACACUGAAGCACCAAAGGGCCCAUAACCUGAUGAAUGUGGAAGGUUGAUUAAUUGUAACUAUCCAGC